UACGAGUGCCCCAAGCGUUAUCCGGAAUUAUUGGGCGUAAAGGGUGUGUAGGUUGUUGUAUUAGUCUUUUGUUAAAGCUCUCGGCUCAACCGGGAACACGCAGGAGAAACGGUACAACUAGAGGAUGCGAGAGGUGUGCGGAACUCAUGGUGUAGGGGUGAAAUCCGUUGAUAUCAUGGGGAACACCGAAAGCGAAGGCAGCACACUGGCGCACUCCUGACACUGAAACACGAAAGCGUGGGUAGCGAAUGGGA
RNAcentral lists this ribosomal RNA (254 nucleotides) under uncultured bacterium. RNAcentral describes it as "partial 16S ribosomal RNA". It matches the Rfam family "Bacterial small subunit ribosomal RNA", at positions 524 to 777 of the family's 1533-position model. The record is from RNAcentral.